This is a non-coding RNA of Raphidocelis subcapitata, 74 nucleotides long. Lineage: Eukaryota; Viridiplantae; Chlorophyta; Chlorophyceae; Sphaeropleales; Selenastraceae. The record is from the annotation of a GenBank genome assembly.
GCCCUUGUAGCUCAGUUGGUUAGAGCGCGGCUUUAGUAAGGCCGAGGUCCCUGGUUCGAAUCCGGGUAGGGGCA